ACUGCGGAGGGAUCAUUACAGUUGACCCCGGCCCUCGGGCCGGGAUGUUCACAACCCUUUGUUGUCCGACUCUGUUGCCUCCGGGGCGACCCUGCCUCCGGGCGGGGGCCCCGGGUGGACAUUUCAAACUCUUGCGUAACUUUGCAGUCUGAGUAAAUUUAAUUAAUAAAUUAAAACUUUCAACAACGGAUCUCUUGGUUCUGGCAUCGAUGAAGAACGCAGCGAAAUGCGAUAAGUAAUGUGAAUUGCAGAAUUCAGUGAAUCAUCGAAUCUUUGAACGCACAUUGCGCCCCCUGGUAUUCCGGGGGGCAUGCCUGUUCGAGCGUCAUUUCACCACUCAAGCCUCGCUUGGUAUUGGGCGACGCGGUCCGCCGCGCGCCUCAAAUCGACCGGCUGGGUCUUUCGUCCCCUCAGCGUUGUGGAAACUAUUCGCUAAAGGGUGCCGCGGGAGGCCACGCCGUGAAACAACCCCAUUUCUAAGGUUGACCUCGGAUCAGGUAGGGAUACCCGCUGAACUUAAGCAUAUCAAUA
RNAcentral lists this ribosomal RNA (531 nucleotides) under Cladosporium sphaerospermum. Its description in RNAcentral is "eukaryotic LSU rRNA". The stretch from base 175 to 328 matches the Rfam family "5.8S ribosomal RNA". The record is from RNAcentral. Lineage: Eukaryota; Fungi; Ascomycota; Dothideomycetes; Cladosporiales; Cladosporiaceae.